This 857-nucleotide ribosomal RNA is filed under the name uncultured bacterium. RNAcentral's name for it is "bacterial SSU rRNA". It matches the Rfam family "Bacterial small subunit ribosomal RNA", at positions 51 to 905 of the family's 1533-position model. The record is from RNAcentral.
ACACAUGCAAGUCGAGGGGCAGCACGGGGUAGCAAUACCCCGGUGGCGACCGGCGCACGGGUGAGUAACACGUGUGCAACCAACCCCGUACCGGGAGAUAACCCGCGGAAACGUGGACUAACACCCCAUAAUACCCUUCCCCCGCAUGGGGGGGAGUUUAAAACCCCGGUGGUACGGGACGGGCACGCGCGACAUUAGGUAGUUGGCGGGGUAACGGCCCACCAAGCUGACGAUGUCUAGGGGUUCUGAGAGGAAGGUCCCCCACACUGGAACUGAGACACGGUCCAGACUCCUACGGGAGGCAGCAGUGAGGAAUAUUGGUCAAUGGGCGAGAGCCUGAACCAGCCAAGUCGCGUGAGGGAAGAAUGGUCUAUGGCCUGUAAACCUCUUUUGUCAAGGAAGAAUAAGCGGCACGAGUGCCACCUUGCCAGUACUUGACGAAUAAGCAUCGGCUAACUCCGUGCCAGCAGCCGCGGUAAUACGGGGGAUGCGAGCGUUAUCCGGAUUUAUUGGGUUUAAAGGGCGCGUAGGCGGGACGGCAAGUCAGCGGUAAAAGACUGCAGCUAAACUGUAGCACGCCGUUGAAACUGUCGACCUGGAGACGAGACGAGGGAGGCGGAACAAGUGAAGUAGCGGUGAAAUGCAUAGAUAUCACUUGGAACCCCGAUAGCGAAGGCAGCUUCCCAGGCUCGAUCUGACGCUGAUGCGCGAGAGCGUGGGUAGCGAACAGGAUUAGAUACCCUGGUAGUCCACGCCGUAAACGAUGCUCACUGGAUCUUGGCGAUACACGGCCAGGGUUCAAGCGAAAGUAUUAAGUGAGCCACCUGGGGAGUACGUCGGCAACGAUGAAACUCAAA